RNAcentral lists this long non-coding RNA (2345 nucleotides) under Cucumis sativus (cucumber). RNAcentral describes it as "long non-coding RNA (CSAT_LNC001879)". The record is from RNAcentral. Lineage: Eukaryota; Viridiplantae; Streptophyta; Magnoliopsida; Cucurbitales; Cucurbitaceae.
UUUAUGCAGGCCCCUUAUGAGGAACCCAUGAAAGUUGUCAACAUAAUUUUGAGAUACUUGAAAUCAACACCUGGUAAAGGGUUAAUCUUUAGAAGAAUAAACAGAAAGACCAUUGAGACAUAUACUGACUUUGAUUGGAUAAGACUGUUGUUGACAGAAAGUCUACCUCUGGUUAUUGUACCUUUGUUUGGGGCAAUCUUGUAACUUGGAAGAGUAAGAUGCAAAGUGUUCUGGUUAAUAUAUAGAGCUAUGAGUUUGAGAAAAUUUGGCUUCAGAAAGCUCCGUCAGAACUUCAUCAGGAAUGUGAGACACCAUUGAAGCUUUUCUGUGAUAAUAAAGUCGCUAUUAUUAUUGUUAAUAACCCAGUUCAACGUAAUAGAACUAAACAUGUUGAUAUUGAUCGACAUUUCAUCAAAGAAAGACUUGACAGUGGGAGCAUAUGCAUUCAGUACAUCCCUUCGAGUCAACAUGUUGUUGAUGUUCUUACCAAGGGGCUUCUCAGACCAAACUUUGGCUUUUGUGUUAGUAAGUUGGGCCUUAUUGAUAUUUACGUUCCAACAUGAGGGGGAGUGUUAGAAUCUUUUCCUUAUUUUCUAAGUAUUUUCCUUGUUAGAAUCUUAGAAUAUUUAUGGAAAGAUUACGAGAAUGUUUUCCUUAUUUUCUAAAUGUUUUUCUUUCUUAUUCCAUUGUAUACUCUAUUCCCCUUGUAUCUAUUGUAUUAUUCCUUAUAAAAUAAUAACAACAAAUUAAUUGUGGUUUUUCUUUCGGUACUUGGAUUUCCACGUAAAUUGGUGUGUGCUCUUUGUCUUUCCUUUUAAUAUGUAUAGAGCAGGUGGUCCAUAGAGGUCAUGUGUUCAAGCCUCUAUAUUGUCGUUUCCUCCCAAUUAACAUUUUAUCAUACAAACACACAAUUUUCAUAUAGUAAUUGAUAGUAUAAUUUAUCAAUUGAUGUUUCAUAAGGUUUGGUUAAUUUUUAGUAACAUUUUAUUAUAUCAUUCAAAUUCACCAUUUUUCAUAUUUAUCCUUCAUUGCUUUCGAUAUAUAUAUAUAGUAAUAAAUAUUUAUUUUAUCAUUUGAUUUUAAAAAUUUAGUUGAAAGAUCUACAAAAUUUGAAUUUAAAAUUGUAUACUUUCCUAAAAUUGUGCAUUUGAUAUAAUAAUAACUUCAUUGUAUUCUCCCUAUAAUUAUGCAUGUAAUUAUUAUUCCAUAAAAUGCUUCAUUUAAAGUAAUAAUAAAUUGGCGUUAUUUAAGGGGAAUCAAUCAAUUAUAACGAUAUUUAUGGAUGAUAAAAAUUUCCUUAAACUAAUGAUACUGACAUUAAAUGCAUCGUAAUUAGAAGAAUAAAAUCAUGAGAAAACCGUGAGAAUGGCAAAAUAAUGAUUAACAAACUGGAAAAGAAUUUGAAUAUUUUAUUUUUGGAAGGAAUUAAUUGAGAAGAGAUGAUUUGUUUUAUUUAAAUUGGAAAAGAAAAAUGGAAAAUGAAGAUAUUUAACGAAAAAUAAUAAUAAUAAUUUAUUAUUAUUAUUAUUUUAAAUAUACCUUUCGGUUCGCAUUCUCUGUCCAUUUCACUAUUCAUCAUCUUCUUCACUUUCACCAAACCCUAGCCGCCGUCGACACCUCCAUCUUCGUUCGAAUGUUCUCUGUCCAGUCGAGAUCUUCACCUCCGUAGUCAUCCCCUCCAUUCGGAUGACAGAGAACUGAGCUGCAAGGAAACGUCUCCUCCGCUGCAUGUCGCUAUACCGUUUUUACUUCAUUCAAAGUCUAACGCCUUUGCGUCGCUUGUUCCUUUGCACAUCGCAUGCCCAACCGCGUCGAUCUCCUUCAUCACCAUUCGUUCGUCGGUUUUACCAAAAUUUUCAGUCACCGUCAGUUGCCGGAUGUUAGUGACUUUGUGGUUGUUAGGGUUUUGUUGUAGUUUUCCUUAAUUACCCCUUGGAGUUAAAAUAAUAUUAAUUUUUAGAUUUUUUGGAAGAGACCAAAGAGGAUGGAAGACGGAAAGGAAGAAUACAAGGUAUGUGGUUGAUGUUUGAUAUCAAAUACAUUGUAUUUAGGUGUAACUACACUAUUUGCCAAAGCUUCCAACCGUCAUCAAUUGCCGGAUUUUAGUGAGUUUGGGGUUUUGUUGUAGUUUUUCUUAAUUAUCCCUUGGAGUUAAAACAAUAUUAAUUUUUAGAUCUUUUGAAGAGGUCAAAGAGGAUAGAAGACGGAAAGGGAAAGCACGACGUAUGUGUGAUAUAAUAUGUAGAAUACAAGGUAUGUGGUUGAUGUUUGAUCUUGAAUACAAUAUAAUUGGAUGUAAUUACACUUAAUUUGUCCUAAAAUCAAGAGGAUAUAUUGUUGCUAUA